UGUCCUCUGCUGUGCCCGGCAGCGCAUUCUUACAUAGUGCCUUGUUCCUAUAGACGACCCGGGUCGGCAACGCGGCAACCAUCGUGCAAGUCCGCCUUCGAGCGGAAAGCCUGGGUUCCCGCACACUGCCCGCCCACCUGAUCCCCCUGGAUCAAGGUCGUUCGAUGUGCACCGGCAUGGCGGAGGGCAU
Molecule: non-coding RNA, 190 nt
Filed under: Lysobacterales bacterium
Lineage: Bacteria; Pseudomonadati; Pseudomonadota; Gammaproteobacteria; Lysobacterales
Description: 6S RNA
Rfam family: 6S / SsrS RNA
About the family: E. coli 6S RNA was the first non coding RNA to be sequenced, but its function was unknown until recently. It consists of 184 nucleotides that fold into an extended hairpin structure with a large single-stranded internal bulge.
Source: RNAcentral